GUUGUGUUGUUGGAUGAUGAUGGUGGUGUUAUAAUUAUUAUUAAAAUUUAUAAGCAUAAUUUGUUUUUGGUUAUUUAUGCUGGUUGGCGAUGCAUUUACAAGUUAAAAAUGCGCUGGAAUAUGUGGAAUCGUUUUGUUAAGUAAAUGCAAGUACGAGGCUGUCUUUGAUUUCUUCGAUGUCAAAGUUGGUGAAUGGAAGGCAAAACCGGAUUUGUUGGUAGAAACCGGGUUUUGGAUAAUCUGUUUUUUGUUUACGCGAAAAUUGGUUGUACAUAAAAAUGUUAAAAUUUACAAAGACUUGGUGUCGUUUCUGUUAAAAAGAAAAAAAAAAUGCAAAUAUUGGAGUUGUUGAAAAGCGAUAGAGUGUGUGAUUAUCGCAAGUCGGUUCAAAUAUUUUAUUUAUUGUUAUUCAUAACGGCUGUUCCUAUCAUUAUUAAUUUUUGUGCGUUUAUAGCGCUAGUCAGUAUUUACGUAGUCUUUGGAAUUUUGGUGAUUCCAGUGUAAGAGUCGAUCAUCUAUUCGACCCGUCUUGAAACACGGACCAAGGAGUUUAACGUACACGCGAGUCAUUAAGUGUUUGAAAACUUAAAGGCGUAACGAAAGUGAAUUUUAAAAAAUUGUUUAUUUUGGUGAAUUAUUUGUUGAUGAAUAUGCGAUCUUAUUUUGGUAAAAAAAAAAUUGGUUGAGCGCAGCAUAGCCCUGUUUAUAUUGUUGCCUGCAACAGAGCGGCGGAAGAGCGUGUGCGUUGAGACCCGAAAGAUGGUGAACUAUGCUUGAGCAGGAUGAAGCCAGAGGAAACUCUGGUGGAAGUCCGAAACCGGUUUCUGAGCGUGCAAAUCGAUCGUC
This 846-nucleotide ribosomal RNA is filed under the name Skarbilovinema laumondi. RNAcentral's name for it is "partial 28S ribosomal RNA". The stretch from base 242 to 846 matches the Rfam family "Eukaryotic large subunit ribosomal RNA", at positions 1 to 906 of the family's 3401-position model. Lineage: Eukaryota; Metazoa; Nematoda; Chromadorea; Rhabditida; Iotonchiidae. The record is from RNAcentral.